Long non-coding RNA from Hypanus sabinus (Atlantic stingray), 710 nucleotides. RefSeq lists it as uncharacterized. The transcript is spliced from 4 exons. Lineage: Eukaryota; Metazoa; Chordata; Chondrichthyes; Myliobatiformes; Dasyatidae. The record is from RefSeq and is a predicted model, not a curated record.
GAAGGAUCUACCCUAGUAAUGAGUGUGUUUGAGUUGCGCACGUGCUAUUUAUUAAUCUAUUUCCUUCUUCUCCCAUUUUUUGUAUCUUUUACUCAAGCGACAUUGGUAACUCCACAUAGUGAGAAAAAUACAGUAAACCAAGGAAGGUUUACCACUGGAAGAGAAUACAUCUUCAUGCAUUUGGUUCCUCUUCUUAAGAAGGAGGUAACCGGUUGAGAACAGAAAUUGAGGAGCAGUUAAGAAUCGAACACAUUCGUGGGUUGAAUCACGUGUAGACCAGACCAGGUAUUAAAGUGAAGAGCAUUCUGACUUUCAGGAUCAUGUCCUGGUAUGGAUAAUCCAAUGCACAGGAUUGAAAGAACCUGCAAAGAACUGUAGACUCAACCAGCCCCAUCACAAUCCUCCCGACCAUCAAGGACAUCUUCAGAAGUUGGUGCCUCAAGAAGGUGGCAUCCAUCACUGAGAACCCUUACCAAUCAGUCCAGGCGUUCUUCUCAUCACUACCAUCUGGGAGGAGGUACAGAAGCCUGAUCACCAACACACUAUGAUUCAGGAGAAGCUUCUUCCCCUUCACCAUCAGAUUUCUCAAUAGAUGUGCGAGGCCAAAUGGGAAAUGAUCCACUGGGAUUUUCAAUGGCAAGGAUGAAUUUUUUGGAGUUGUCAACUGCAGAUUGCACCAUCAAGCUCUGCAAACUCAGAGGUCAUGGGAC